RNAcentral lists this ribosomal RNA (553 nucleotides) under uncultured archaeon. RNAcentral describes it as "bacterial SSU rRNA". It matches the Rfam family "Archaeal small subunit ribosomal RNA", at positions 325 to 879 of the family's 1478-position model. The record is from RNAcentral.
ACGGGGUGCAGCAGGCGCGAAAACUUCGCAAUGUGCGAAAGCACGACGAGGGAAUCCCAAGUGCUGGCUCGUUAGAGUCAGCUGUUUUUAUGUCUAAAAAGCAUAGAGAGUAAGAGCUGGGUAAGACGGGUGCCAGCCGCCGCGGUAAUCCCUGCAGCUCAAGUGGUGGCCGCUAUUAUUGGGCCUAAAACGUCCGUAGCCUGUUUAUUAAAUGCCUAGGUAAAUUGUGUGGCUUAACCAUACGAAUUCUGGGUAGACUGAUAAACUUGAGACCGGGAGAAGCUAGAGGUACUCCUGGGGUAGAGGUGAAAUUCUGUAAUCCUAGGGGGACCACCAGUGGCGAAGGCGUCUAGCUAGAACGGGUUUGACGGUGAGGGACGAAGCCCUGGGGCGCAAACGGGAUUAGAUACCCCGGUAGUCCAGGGUGUAAACGCUGCUUGCUUGAUGUUGGUUGGGCUCCGAGCCCAAUCAGUGUCGGAGAGAAGUUGUUAAGCAAGCUGCCUGGGAAGUACGGCCGCAAGACUGAAACUUAAAGGAAUUGGCGGGGGAGCAC